UUUCCGUAGGUGAACCUGCGGAAGGAUCAUUAAUGGGAAAUCAAAUCAAAUCAAAACAAAUGUUCUGUUGCACUGGGUGUGCUGUGUGGUGGUGGUGUGAGACACGGAGAUUCGAUCAUUGGAGAUUCAAUCAUUGGAGAUUCAAUCAUUGGAGAUUCAAUCAUUGGAAUUUCAAUCAUUGGAGAUUCAAUCAUUCAAUCUCAAUCAUCGCCACACAACACAACUAUCUAUCACACUCGAUCAACAACAACACACUCACACACAACAGCAAACAACUUUCAACAACGGAUCUCUUGGCUCUC
RNAcentral lists this unclassified non-coding RNA (302 nucleotides) under plant metagenome. Its description in RNAcentral is "partial contains small subunit ribosomal RNA, internal transcribed spacer 1, and 5.8S ribosomal RNA". The record is from RNAcentral.